AAGAGGGUGAACUGUUUCCUUUACCUAAGCAUGCUCAGCCGUAUCAUACAUUACAUAUGGAUCACUUAGGUCCAUUUGUGGAGACAAAACAAAAAAAUAGGUAUUUAUUAGUGAUGGUUGACGCGUUUACAAAGUUUGUAUUCAUUUAUGCCGUGAAAACAACAAACUCUGCUCACGUCAUUAAAGAAUUAGAACUUAUGUCUAAAACGUUUGGAUAUCCAAGGCGCGUGAUCACGGAUGCGGGUACAGGGUUUACGUCUAGUGAGUUUACACAAUAUUGCCAUAGUAAUAACAUUCGGCGUCAUACAGUAGCUACAGGAAUGCCACGUGGAAACGGUCAGGCGGAGCGUUUUAAUAAAACCAUUUUAGAUGCUAUGAGGACGUUAGGCGCUAAUACGGAUGACGAUCGUUGGGACCAAUAUGUUAAAGUAUUACAACAGGGACUCAACAGCACUAUACAUAAAACCACCAAAGCAGUACCAAGUGAAGUGUUCUUAGGAUAUCGCGUAAGAACAGCUAGCGAUAAUUUAUUGACAUCCGAGCUUGAUAACGGGGUAUUAACUGAUGUUUCUGACUUGCGUAAAAAGGUCGAUGAAAAUAUUAAAGCCGAUGCAUUAUAUCAGAAAAAGCGGUUCGAUGAAUCACGAGUUCAAGCGUGCAAGUAUUCGGUGGGUGAUCUUAUUUUGCUGAAAAAUCAAAGCAAAAAUAACGAUGGUCAAAGUAGAAAGCUGAUGCCAACUUAUAAGGGACCAUUUCAAGUCAAGAGCGUCCUAGGGAAUGACAGAUACGAGGUGACGGAUAUGCGAGGCUCGGAACGAAGUACUAAGCUCUAUUCGGGCACAGCCGCGGCGGAAAACAUGAAGCCGUGGAUUCGAAUAGGAGAUUGGCCUUCAGAUUAAAUGACCCUGGAUGGAUCGUGGUGGUGUCAGGGGCUGACACAUUGCAGAACGGCCGUGUUGGCAACCCCGAGUUCACGCCAAGAUUCUACCUGCUGCGCGGCCGACUUGGUGGUGGUGGCGCCCCUCCACCUGCAUAAAUACCGCUGCAGAGCCGGGGACCGGGGCUUUUGCGAUUUAGACUUCGGCUUCGACACAUGAUAUUUCGUUUAGCAAUGUAAUUUGAUUUAUUGUACAUUUAUUUUUUGAUUAAAAAGUAUUUCGUAUA
Long non-coding RNA from Cydia pomonella (codling moth), 1164 nucleotides. RefSeq lists it as uncharacterized. The transcript has 2 exons. The record is from RefSeq and is a predicted model, not a curated record. Lineage: Eukaryota; Metazoa; Arthropoda; Insecta; Lepidoptera; Tortricidae.